GAACGAACGCUGGCGGCGCGUUUAAGCAUGCAAGUCGAGCGGCAGGGGGCUCGGUCCCCCGAGAGCGGCGGACGGGUGAGUAACACGUGGACAACCUGCCCCCCGGUUCGGGAUAGCCCAGGGAAACCUGGAUCAAUACCGGAUGCGAGGGCGGCCGCACAAGCGGCCGUCGGGAAAGGCGCUUCGGCGCCGCCGGGGGAUGGGUCCGCGUCCCAUUAGCUAGACGGUGGGGUAACGGCCCACCGUGGCGAUGAUGGGUAGCCGGCCUGAGAGGGUGGACGGCCACAUUGGAACUGAGACACGGUCCAGACUCCUACGGGAGGCAGCAGCUAAGAAUCUUCCGCAAUGGGCGAAAGCCUGACGGAGCGACGCCCGCGUGAACGAAGAAGGCCGUGAGGUUGUAAAGUUCUUUUCGGGAGGGGGAACAACCGUGGCAGGGAAUGGCCGCGGGAUGACGUGAAUCCCGGAAUAAGCCCCGGCUAACUACGUGCCAGCCGCUGC
This 501-nucleotide ribosomal RNA is filed under the name uncultured bacterium. RNAcentral's name for it is "bacterial SSU rRNA". It matches the Rfam family "Bacterial small subunit ribosomal RNA", at positions 27 to 518 of the family's 1533-position model. The record is from RNAcentral.